AGAGUUUGAUCCUGGCUCAGAACGAACGCUGGCGGCGUGCCUAACACAUGCAAGUCGAGCGCGAAAGUCCCUUCGGGGGCGAGUAGAGCGGCGGACGGGUGAGUAAUACAUGGAUAAUCUCCCUUCGAGCUCGGGAUAACACUGCGAAAGCGGUGCUAAUACCGGAUAAGACCACGUCACCCAGGUGAUGCGGUAAAAGAUGGCUUUGUUUUCGGAUGAGGCUAUCACUUGAGGAUGAGUCCAUGGCCUAUCAGCUUGUUGGUGAGGUAAAGGCUCACCAAGGCGAUGACGGGUAGCUGGUCUGAGAGGACGACCAGCCACACUGGGACUGAGACACGGCCCAGACUCCUACGGGAGGCAGCAGUGGGGAAUAUUGGGCAAUGGGCGAAAGCCUGACCCAGCGACGCCGUGUGGGCGAUGAAGGCCUUCGGGUUGUAAAGCCCUGUUGGGUGGAAAGAAGGGCUCUAGGACGAAUAAUCCCUGAGUCUUGACGGUACCACCAGAGGAAGCACCGGCUAACUCCGUGCCAGCAGCCGCGGUAAUACGGAGGGUGCAAGCGUUGUUCGGAAUUACUGGGCGUAAAGGGCGCGUAGGUGGUUGUGUAAGUCAGAUGUGAAAUCCCGAGGCUCAACCUCGGAACUGCAUCUGAUACUGCAUGACUAGAGUGCAGCAGAGGGAAACGGAAUUCCCAGUGUAGAGGUGAAAUUCGUAGAUAUUGGGAGGAACACCGGUGGCGAAGGCGGUUUCCUGGGCUGACACUGACACUGAGGCGCGAAAGCGUGGGUAGCAAACAGGAUUAGAUACCCUGGUAGUCCACGCUGUA
RNAcentral lists this ribosomal RNA (823 nucleotides) under uncultured bacterium. RNAcentral describes it as "bacterial SSU rRNA". It matches the Rfam family "Bacterial small subunit ribosomal RNA", at positions 8 to 804 of the family's 1533-position model. The record is from RNAcentral.